This 6929-nucleotide long non-coding RNA is filed under the name Sus scrofa (pig). RNAcentral's name for it is "lncRNA (ENSSSCG00000055338.1)". The record is from RNAcentral. Lineage: Eukaryota; Metazoa; Chordata; Mammalia; Artiodactyla; Suidae.
UGUACUUCUUCUAUAAUGGGAUGCAUAUAUUGAGACGUCUCUGAAUGAUAUAUCACUGGGUUCAUAAUCUUGAUAUACCAGUGUCCAUCGGAACAGAAAUACAUGACCUUCGUCAGUAAAACAACAUGGUACUUUGACAAAAUGGGACAAAAGAGUCAUCCAUAUUCUUUAAAAGUAUUAUUUUUAUUGUUUUUGGUCCAAUUAUCUACUGUUACAUGAUAAAUACCAUAUACUCUACCGAGUUAAUGACUCUCAUUUGAGAAUAUGUUACUUAAGAACUGAAGAUAACACAAAGAGAAACAAGUUGAUAAAACCAUGCAUACAAUUUUAAAUAUAUUUUCAGCAUAGGCUCCUGAAAAAUAUGACAGCAUCUGGACAGGAAAAGAGACAAACAUCUGACUCAGGAAGACAUGUUUUACAUCUACAGAAAAAAUAAUCAACGCCACAGAAUUAGCAACACUUUUUUGGUAGUCUUUUAAACAUCUUGGCUCACUAAUAAUAAAUCACUGUAUACGAUAUUACAAUUAUACAUUGAAAAUAUAUGGCACAUAUUCUUUUGUUUUCCAGAGCAUAUUAUAUAAUAUAGAAUGGCAGAUCUACUUCACUCUGUUUCUCCCCAGUCUCAUCAUCUAUCAUUCAUUAAAAUACAAACCUAAGGAAAAGCCAUUGCAUAAUUCGAAGAGAUGAAAGUGAAGGAGUGCAAAAUUAUUCAAGCAUGUUCAAUACGGUCUCACAUCUGAAUCCCUUCCUGGCCUUUGACUCACAGUGCCUUACUCUUUGUUUACAUUACAAGCCAGGCUGGAUAAUGAUUAUACAGGUGGGUUGCCAGGAGGUACCUUGGCUAAAACCACCCCAGAGAACUUUUAAAAUAAGACAACUUAAUUCAUUAUAUUUUUAUUACAGCUUUACUCUAAAAAAAUAUUAUGUUUGGCUGAUAGUUUUUAAAUUCAUAUUAUUUAGGGUUUCAUACUAUAUUUUCAUAUCAUGAAACAAUUUUAAAUACUUAACUUAAAAUUAUUGCUAUGGUAGAGGAAGAUAUUUAAAGCUACUGCAAAUGAUUUACAUAGAAAUUUUUAUCAAUUUCUCUCUUUAUCUACAUAGAUGGUUGAUUUUUUAUUUCUUUAUUUUAUGAACCUGAAAACAUCUCAUCAUUGCAUAACACAAAGUGCAUUGAGGAGUGGCUUAAAUGAGAAUAAAGCUGGUGGUAAGAGGUUGAAAAAGAGUCUUAAUAGAGCCUAAACACAGGCAGCAGAUAUGAAAAAGCACAUGAUGUGCUGUCCUUAAGGGAAUAGAGUAGCCUUAGCUGAAAUAAAAUGCUUUUUCUUUCUCUCUCUCUUUCUGUUCUUUUUCUUUCUUUCUUCCUUCCUUUCUUUUCCUUCCUUUCUUUCUUCCUUCCUUUCUUUUCCUCCCUCCCUUCCUUCCUCACUGCACCCAUGGCAUAUGGAAGUGCCCAGGCCAGGGACUGAAUAUGAGCUGCAGCUGCAACCUACGCUGAAGCUGUGGUAAAGCCAGGUCCUUUAAACCCACUGCGCCAGGCCAGGGAUCAAACCCUGCCUCUGCAGCAGCCCAAGCUGCUGCAGGCAUAUUCUUAACCUUCUGCAACACAGGGGAAACUCCCAAAAUCAUUUCUUGAUGAAGAUAAACUUGUUUGUUUUUUUAAUCACUUGGAGCUGUGUCACAAAAGAACAGGUUGCCUUCAGAAUAAAGAGCUACCUGUUGCUCUAAGAGUUUGAGGAGAAUGUGGAUCAUUCUGUACCGGGAAUGCACCAGGGAUGGUGAAAGUGCUGACAUUAAAAAGGAAGCUGAACUGAAACAGCUCACAGGUUUAUUUUUAAUUUUAAGGGUAUCAACAGGAAAUAAUUAAAGGGAAUUUGUUUUCUUUUUACAGCCGUACCUGCAGCAUAUGGAAGUUCCCAGGCUAGGUAGGGACUGAAUUGGAGCUGCAGUUGCCAGCCUACAUCACAGCCACAGCAACACCAGAUCCGAGCUAUGUUAAGGACGUGGGGUUAAGGAUGUGGCCACACUGGAUCCUUAACCCAACUGAGAGAGGCCAGGCAUUGAAACCACAUCCUCACAGGCCACUACGUCGGGUUCUUAACCUGCUUAGCCACAAUGGGAACCCCUAAAGUGAUUUUGAAGAAAGAAAACAUUUUAAAGCUUUCAUUGUUAAAUUGGGUAUUAUUAGAAUAGGUUUGUAUACAUUCAUGUCGAUUGCUCUCACUUGUGGAACUUUUGACAAUAAUCCAGAAUUUCACAUCUUACACUGAACAUACUGAAUUCAGGUCUCAGAACAGUGCCAGGUACAUAGAAGGUGCUUGAGGAAUGUUUGUUGAAUCAGUGAUUGAAUUAUAAUCUCUCCUGUUGAACAUCAGCAUGGAUACAUGUUUAAAAAUGAGUAAGGGGUUCUCGGGAGUUCCUAUUGUGGCUCAGUGGUUAACGAAUCUGACUAGGAACCAUGAGGUUGCGGGUUUGAUCCCUGGCCUUCCUCAGUGAGUUAACCAUCCGGCAUUGCCACGAGCUAUGGUGAAGUCGCAGAUCCCGUGUUGCUGUGGUGUAGGCCAGCAGCUACAGCUCUGAUUAGACCGCUAGCCUGGGAACCUCCAUGUGCCACGGGAGUGGCCCUAGAAAAAACAAACAAACAAACAAAAAAAAGAGUAAGGGGUUCUAAUGUACAGCCGGGAAUCAGAAUCACUAUUUUAAAAAUAAUACUCCACCACUUUAAAAUCCUCUUAUUUUGCUUAUACAUGAACCAUGAAAAAUACUGAGAAAACUGCCUGUUAAGACACCAUGAAAUCAUUCAAUAUAACUAGUUAUUACUAAUUUUUUUCAAAGAACUGUUUGACAAAUAUUAAAUAAUUUUUCAAAGAUAAUCUGAACAGUGGUUUACAAUUCUACCAUUAAUAGUUGGAGAAAAAUUUGACCCACAUGCUUUGGUUAUGUGUUGUUGAGGCAAAACAUUGCAGUUUCAUAAAUAAGAGAUGGUCAAAUCAAAUGACCGCAUUGCUCAUAUUUCCCAUCGGGAAUCCCUGCUAUUGCAAAACACAGAAUUAUGGACUUUUGCCCAGAAAAGUUGACUUCCUUUGCAUUUCCAAUUUGAAGAAAUUUACCCUAUAAACAACAUAGAAUUGUAAGUGUGCAUGAGUGUGUGUGCUUGUGCAUGUGUGUGUGUGUGCGUGUGUGCGUGUAAGAGAGGGAAAAGGAAAGAAAGGAGGGGACCAUAAAAACUGUAGAAAAUAUUUUUUUUCAAUUUUUUUUAAAUGAUAGAAGAAAAAAAUGAUAAGAGGAUCUAGCUUCUAGCUCAGGAUUUCUCUGUCUUUUGGACCAAUUUCUAGUAGAAGCUUCUCCCGAAUAUUUUCCCUGCCUUCAUUAUUUCCAAAUCCUUUUGGGGAGGGGGCAGGUAAUAGUUUACGCAUGGGCUCUAAGCAUCUUUGUUUGAAAAGUAUGCAUCACUUUACUUCUUAAUAAUUAAAAUAACAGCUGUCUUCCUAUGGAAGUUCACUUUAUAAUAUCAGUGUGUGUUGGUUUUUUUUUUUUUUUUUUUUUUUUUGUCUUUUGUCUUUUCGUUGUUGUUGUUGUUGCUAUUUCUUGGGCCGCUCCCGCGGCAUAUGGAGGUUCCCAGGCUAGGGGUUGAAUCGGAGCUGUAGCCACCGGCCUACACCAGAGCCACAGCAACGCAGGAUCCGAGCCGCGUCUGCAACCUACACCACAGCUCACAGCAACGCCGGAUUGUUAACCCACUGAGCAAGGGCAGGGACCGAACCCGCAACCUCAUGGUUCCUAGUCGGAUUCAUUAACCACUGCGCCACGACGGGAACUCCUCAGUGUGUUUUUGAAGAGGAAUGGGGCUGGGAUAAAAGUUUAAUUUUAAAGUUAAUUAAAUCAAUACAAUUCAUAUUACGGGCUGCUUAUUUAUUCACAAAGAGUUUAUAUAAUAAGAAUAAAAUGGGAUUGUUAUAUUUUACCACUCUUUGUAGUACAUGAACCAAAAAAUAAAAAUCAGUGUAUCUGCUAAGGAAGACAGCUCUGGUGUUAUGGGUAAGGGGGAACCUAUGUAUUUAUAUUUACUGUAUUUUCUAAAAUAUUUUAUUGAAAAGCACCCAUUGUCUUACAGCUACAAACUGUAAUUCUUCUUAUCCUUUUUAGCAUCCCUUUAAAACGUCAAAGUGACGAGUUAUAAACUUCAAGGUCUAAAAUAUAUCAUGGAAACUGGAAAUGGUGACUAUCUGCUAGGUCAGAGAUCAUUGUUCGGGAAUUCCCAUAGUGGCUCAAUGGUUAAGGAACCUGAAUAGCAUCCAUGAGGACGUGGGUUCGAUCCCUGGCUUCACUCAGUGGAUUAAGGAUCUGGCAUUGCAGUGAGCUGUGGUGUAGGUCACAGACAUGGCUUGGAUUCCAAAUUGCUGUGGCUGUGGUGUAGGCCAGCGGCUACAGCUCUGAAUGGACGCCGAGCUUGGGAAUCUCCAUAUGCCUCGGGUUCAGCCCUAAAAAGACAAAAAGACCAAAAAAAAAAAAAAAUCAUUAUUCGGUGAUCAUUGAAAUAGGAUUAUUUUGUACUGCUCUGAAUGGCACUAUGGCCCCAAGGAAAAUUACAAAGGCAUUGUGGAGAACAAGAUUUGGUUAUCAUUAUAUUUAAAAUUUCAGUAUUUUAUAGAAUCCUAAUCCUCAUAGUCAGACCUUUCCACUGCCUGUGAGUCAGAUAGGUUCAGCUAAGGAAAGUGCUUUGUCAAAAAUAUUGGAAAGACAUCACCAGAAAGUCCUUUGAUUUUACUUGAGCCAAUUACACAAUUUGGGGCACAGUUUUAAGAAAUACUGAAAUUUGUCACUUAAAAAUAUUGUGCAGUUUUUGCAUCCAAAUUCCUCUCUGAAAGGUUCAUGACAUCAGCAAGUUUUUAUAGUCUGGCAGAGUUGAUGGUGCUAAAAGUUCCAACACCUCUAUAACAGCAUAUAACUCACUCCAAAAGCCAAGCAUGGGCAAUGAAAUUAUCUAGUUCGAAAACUGAAUACCCAAAGGAACAAGCAAAAUGUAGUUAUCAUAAUUGUGCUUAAUAGGUAAAUAUAACUAAAAAGACAAGCUUGUAAUUAUAAAGAUGCAAAAACUAUUCUCUGAGUCACUAAGACAAUUUCCAUCAAAUCCCCUCGGAGAACUAAGGUGAUUAUUAGUGUAUAGAUUAUAUUUCCAUGGAUUAUAUUUUCCUGGGAUAGACUGUUAAAAUUAAAAUACCUUGCGGGUGGAAACCAUACUUAUCCUCUUAAUGUGUUUUAAUCAAAUUCACUACUUUACAAUCUUUGCCUUGUCAGCAUCAGUGAAUACUGAUGGAGUACAUAAAAGUUUAUGCUGUGUCCUUGGAGUGGUUACUUUUCUUUACUAGGUUAGCAUCAACUAGAUGAGAAAUACAUGUGGUACAUGCUCAUAAAUUUUGAUAGCUUUUGCUAUUUGUAUGUUGCACAGUCUGUGAAAUCUCUUUUAGAGUUGGAAACAUGAUCUCAAAGGCUAUUCAUGACUGAUUGGUCUAAGAACUGCGUCCCAUAUUCAUUCUGAGUUUCAUUCUGAGAGUGUCUGAAGUGAGGGACACCUGUGAUUUUCAGGAUUGCCUACUUCCUACUUUUUAUUUGAGAUUAUUUUCUACUUUUCAUAUUGCCAAGUCCCAUAUUUCCUUGAGUCCAUUUCAUGGUAUGUGUACUUUAUAGGUAAAAGGAAAAUUGAGCUGCCAAUGUAACAUUUAGUCUUUCAAAGUGACUAGCAGGUUGAGGUAUAUCACGUUAAGAAUAGAAAGGUGUGUUUUUAAAAAUAAGAUGAGAGACAUUCAGAAAAGGGGAUGUAUAGUAUGGAGGAUACACAUAUUUUUCUUCUAAAAUCAUAACCUCAAGUUACACGGGGUGCUAAAGUAGUUAACAACUUACUCUCUUCUGUUGGCUUAUUUUUUUUUCACAUUUUUUUCCCUAAAAUCCCCAUUAUCUUCGAUAAGAUCUUUGGAAUUCACAAACCCAGUGCAUGUAUUCAUAUUUUAGGGAUACACAGAUUUAGAGCAUUUAUAAAUCAAAAUUAAGAUAAUGGUUAUUAGAAUAUAUUCAUAGACUAGUAAUUGAUUAUUGGAUAAGUAGUCAUAAUGGUCCCUUAAAUACAGCAGUUGGGAGUUGGAUGGGCUUUCCAGGUGAGCAGAACUGUUAUGGAGAAACAUCAUGAAAGUUUGGAGACUCUUUCAAGACCCUUGGCUUCCUUGCUUCUAUGGUUUCUUUCUAGAAUUUGUUUUAAAUAGUAAAGAAAGUUCUAGGUCCUCACUCUAGUUGAACUCCACUUCUAAUGGUUAGGAAAGAAAGAGAAGGAUGGUGUGUACAUGCUAAGGUGCAAGGUUUCCUUAAAAAUUCACAUGGAACCAUAUAUUUCAAUAGUUGAGAGACAUAAUUAUAAAAAAAAAGUGAAGUAAAACUACAUGUAUAAAAAUUACAAACUUUCUGACGUGGCUAUUUUGAAAUACUUCAGAAAAUCCACUUUAGAAUUCCAACUUAUGUGUGAGUAGUUAGUGCAUAUGCACAUUUUGAUCUUCUCACCAUGGAUAGAUUUCUGGUUGGUUUAAUUUGAAAUAUUAGGGCUUGACAUAGGGCUUAUUUAGGCAAAUCCUACUGAGGGAUGGUAAUUACAAUGUAGCUUUCCUGUUUUAAAGGGUCUAUAAGAAUUCAUUAGAGGGGACACAUUCCUUCAACAAUUUGGAUUCAGCUAUAUUUGCUAUGUCACUGUUGCCCUAUGAGUGAAAUGUUGGAGUAUUUACUUAGUGUUGUUAGAUAAUGGUAAGUCUAUAUAUGCCUAAGCAAAGUAUAAUCCUUUUUUGUGAUAGAGCUCUACCAUAGCAACAUCCCUGCUAAAAACAUUGUUUCAUGGCUAGUAUUUUUACAUUCCAAGUUUCAGGUUUAAAAAAGAGACAUUUUUAAUACUC